GCCCAGACUCCUACGGGAGGCAGCAGUGGGGAAUAUUGCACAAUGGGGGAAACCCUGAUGCAGCGACGCCGCGUGAGUGAAGAAGUAUUUCGGUAUGUAAAGCUCUCUCAGCAGGGAAGAAAAACCGACCUUAGGGUCGCUAGACGGUACCUGAUUAAGAAGCCCCGGCUAACUACGUGCCAGCAGCCGCGGUAAUACGUAGGGGGCAAGCGUUAUCCGGAUUUACUGGGUGUAAAGGGCGUGUAGGCGGGUCUGCAAGUCAGAUGUGAAAUUCCAGGGCUCAACCCUGGAACUGCAUUUGAAACUGUAGAUCUUGAGUGAUGGAGAGGCAGGCGGAAUUCCGUGUGUAGCGGUGAAAUGCGUAGAUAUCAGGAGGAACACCGGCGGCGAAGGCGGCCUGCUGGACCGUGACUGACGUUGAGGCUCGAGAGCGUGGGGAGCAAACAGGAUUAGAUACCCGCGUA
This 464-nucleotide ribosomal RNA is filed under the name uncultured bacterium. Its description in RNAcentral is "partial 16S ribosomal RNA". It matches the Rfam family "Bacterial small subunit ribosomal RNA", at positions 329 to 792 of the family's 1533-position model. The record is from RNAcentral.